UGUCGGUAAAGGUCAGGGGUAUGUUUAUGGUGCUUCUGAGUCAUCCUCGUUAGUGGGGUCUUCUAUUUUGGGUUCUGAUGGUGAGAAAAACGUAGCAGAAAUAACUUCUGAAAGAGAAGUGGAGAUGGAAGUUGACACUGCGAAGGAAUGAACUGACACUGCUUAUUGGCCCCUCGAUCCAAAUGUGCGUAUUACCGAGCUUCUACAAUACAAUCUGAAUCUCGAAGAAAAACUAUGUUUUAGAGGGAUGUCUACUGUUGAACUUUUGGAUAUGGCAUAUGAGCUUAACGUUUGGG
This 296-nucleotide long non-coding RNA is filed under the name Vigna radiata. RNAcentral describes it as "long non-coding RNA (VRAD_LNC017205)". The record is from RNAcentral. Lineage: Eukaryota; Viridiplantae; Streptophyta; Magnoliopsida; Fabales; Fabaceae.